This 253-nucleotide unclassified non-coding RNA is filed under the name uncultured Dehalococcoidia bacterium. RNAcentral's name for it is "contains 16S-23S intergenic spacer region". It matches the Rfam family "Bacterial small subunit ribosomal RNA", at positions 524 to 776 of the family's 1533-position model. Lineage: Bacteria; Bacillati; Chloroflexota; Dehalococcoidia. The record is from RNAcentral.
UACGUAGGAGGCAAGCGUUGUCCGGAUUUACUGGGCGUAAAGGGUGUGUAGGCGGUCCGUUAAGUCUCGUGUGAAAUCUCCCGGCCCAACUGGGAGGGGUCACGGGAAACUGGCGGACUUGAGGACGGUAGAGGAAAGCGGAAUUCCCGGAGUAGUGGUGAAAUGCGUAGAUACCGGGAGGUACACCAGUGGCGAAAGCGGCUUUCUGGGCCGUCCCUGACGCUGAUGCACGAAAGCUUGGGGAGCGAACCGG